RNAcentral lists this ribosomal RNA (429 nucleotides) under Chloroflexota bacterium. RNAcentral's name for it is "Chloroflexi bacterium partial 16S ribosomal RNA". It matches the Rfam family "Bacterial small subunit ribosomal RNA", at positions 355 to 776 of the family's 1533-position model. The record is from RNAcentral. Lineage: Bacteria; Bacillati; Chloroflexota.
UGGGGAAUAUUGCACAAUGGGCGCAAGCCUGAUGCAGCCAUGCCGCGUGUGUGAAGAAGGCCUUCGGGUUGUAAAGCACUUUCAGCGGGGAGGAAGGCGGUGAGGUUAAUAACCUCACCGAUUGACGUUACCCGCAGAAGAAGCACCGGCUAACUCCGUGCCAGCAGCCGCGGUAAUACGGAGGGUGCAAGCGUUAAUCGGAAUUACUGGGCGUAAAGCGCACGCAGGCGGUCUGUCAAGUCGGAUGUGAAAUCCCCGGGCUCAACCUGGGAACUGCACUCGAAACUGGCAGGCUAGAGUCUUGUAGAGGGGGGUAGAAUUCCAGGUGUAGCGGUGAAAUGCGUAGAGAUCUGGAGGAAUACCGGUGGCGAAGGCGGCCCCCUGGACAAAGACUGACGCUCAGGUGCGAAAGCGUGGGGAGCAAACAGG